This 253-nucleotide ribosomal RNA is filed under the name uncultured bacterium. Its description in RNAcentral is "partial 16S ribosomal RNA". It matches the Rfam family "Bacterial small subunit ribosomal RNA", at positions 524 to 776 of the family's 1533-position model. The record is from RNAcentral.
UACGGAGGGUGCAAACGUUGCUCGGAAUCAUUGGGCGUAAAGCGCACGUAGGCGGCGCGUUAAGUCGGAUGUGAAAGCCCCGAGCUUAACUUGGGAAUUGCGCUUGUGACUGGCGGGCUGGAGUGUGGCAGAGGGAGGUGGAAUUCCACGUGUAGCAGUGAAAUGCGUAGAGAUGUGGAGGAACACCGAUGGCGAAGGCAGCCUCCUGGGCCAGCACUGACGCUCAUGCACGAAAGCGUGGGGAGCAAACAGG